GACGAACGCUGGCGGCGUGCCUAAUACAUGCAAGUAGAACGCUGAAGGAGGAGCUUGCUUCUCUGGAUGAGUUGCGAACGGGUGAGUAACGCGUAGGUAACCUGCCUGGUAGCGGGGGAUAACUAUUGGAAACGAUAGCUAAUACCGCAUAAGAGUAGAUGUCGCAUGACAUUUGCUUAAAAGGUGCAAUUGCAUCGCUACCAGAUGGACCUGCGUUGUAUUAGCUAGUUGGUGAGGUAACGGCUCACCAAGGCAACGAUACAUAGCCGACCUGGGAGGGUGAUCGGCCACACUGGGACUGAGACACGGCCCAGACUCCUACGGGAGGCAGCAGUAGGGAAUCUUCGGCAAUGGACGGAAGUCUGACCGAGCAACGCCGCGUGAGUGAAGAAGGUUUUCGGAUCGUAAAGCUCUGUUGUAAGAGAAGAACGAGUGUGAGAGUGGAAAGUUCACACUGUGACGGUAGCUAACCAGAAAGGGACGGCUAACUACGUG
Molecule: ribosomal RNA, 495 nt
Filed under: uncultured bacterium
Lineage: Bacteria
Description: partial 16S ribosomal RNA
Rfam family: Bacterial small subunit ribosomal RNA
Source: RNAcentral